This 791-nucleotide ribosomal RNA is filed under the name Stygobromus sp. 1 AGC-2019. RNAcentral's name for it is "partial large subunit ribosomal RNA". It matches the Rfam family "Eukaryotic large subunit ribosomal RNA", at positions 143 to 608 of the family's 3401-position model. Lineage: Eukaryota; Metazoa; Arthropoda; Malacostraca; Amphipoda; Crangonyctidae. The record is from RNAcentral.
AUGUUGCGUAAAGGGAAAGGUCGUAUUCAAACCCUUCAGCCACGCGAGCGCUAAGUCAGCCACGAAUUGGCUAGCCCGACUAACGGAGGGUAUGACUCCACGGAGGGUGUAAGACCCGUAUGGGCGCGUGUUAAAGCUGGACGGGGAAGGCCUCUGUUCCCUGAGAGUCGCGUUGCUCUGGCAUGCAGCGCUAAGCAGGUCGUAAACUCGAUCUAAGGCUAAAUAUAUCCACAGGACCGAUAGCGAACAAGUACCGUGAGGGAAAGUUGAAAAGCACUCUGAAGAGAGAGUCAAAAGACCGUGAAACCGCUCAGAGUAUAAGCCCAUGGAGUUCGGAAGGCAUACCGCCGUCGAGCAAUUGGCGACAUGAAAGAAAGGUCGAUCAGGAAGGGGGCAUCAUCAUCCCUCUCCCGUCGUGCUGGGGAGUGCGUGGGCGUGAGACUACGGUGUAGCGUCCUCCUCUCUCUCAGUCGCGGGUCGUCAAGGUUACAUGUCGAAGGCGGGAACUGCCCACCACGGCUCGUUGUGAGGUCACCCACAGGCUCAACUGUCCAUUGCGUGUUCUCCUCGCUUAGCACUCGAGUGUCGUUGAUCCACCCCAUCAUGAGGCGGGUGUGGCUAGACACGCGCGGCGAGGCUGGCUCAAAACGAACCGAACGACGACCGAGAAAAAACCUGGUACGAUCCUCGUGCGACGAGCCGCUUUCUGGCCAGAAUUGCAUCCAGGCCUCGUCUCAUUUGCCGAGCGAGGCUCCAUUCAAAAAGGGGCGGCUUGUGUCCUCUGCCGUCUU